This 274-nucleotide ribosomal RNA is filed under the name uncultured bacterium. Its description in RNAcentral is "partial 16S ribosomal RNA". It matches the Rfam family "Bacterial small subunit ribosomal RNA", at positions 523 to 796 of the family's 1533-position model. The record is from RNAcentral.
AUACGGAGGGUGCAAGCGUUAAUCGGAAUUACUGGGCGUAAAGCUCGCGUAGGCGGAUAUUUAAGUCUCAUGUGAAAGCCCUGGGCUCAACCUGGGAACUGCAUGGGAUACUGGGUAUCUAGAAUACAGUAGAGGGUAGUGGAAUUUCAGGUGUAGCGGUGAAAUGCGUAGAGAUCUGAAGGAACAUCAGUGGCGAAGGCGACUACCUGGACUGAUAUUGACGCUGAGGUGCGAAAGCGUGGGGAGCAAACAGGAUUAGAAACCCUAGUAGUCC